This 253-nucleotide ribosomal RNA is filed under the name uncultured bacterium. RNAcentral's name for it is "partial 16S ribosomal RNA". It matches the Rfam family "Bacterial small subunit ribosomal RNA", at positions 524 to 776 of the family's 1533-position model. The record is from RNAcentral.
UACGUAGGGUGCGAGCGUUAAUCGGAAUUACUGGGCGUAAAGCGUGCGCAGGCGGUCUCGUAAGCUGGGUGUGAAAGCCCCAAGCUUAACCUGGGAAUGGCAUUCAAGACUGCGAGGCUCGAGUAUGACAGAGGGAGGUGGAAUUCCACAUGUAGCAGUGAAAUGCGUAGAGAUAUGGAGAAACACCGAUAACGAAGACAGCCUCCUAAACCAGCACUGACGCUCAAGCACGAAAGCGUGGGGAGCAAACAGG